This 433-nucleotide ribosomal RNA is filed under the name uncultured bacterium. RNAcentral describes it as "partial 16S ribosomal RNA". It matches the Rfam family "Bacterial small subunit ribosomal RNA", at positions 29 to 507 of the family's 1533-position model. The record is from RNAcentral.
AACGAACGCUGGCGGCAUGCCUAACACAUGCAAGUCGAACGAGACCUUCGGGUCUAGUGGCGCCCGGGUGCGUAACGCGUGGGAACCUGCCCUUAGGUUCGGCAUAACUCCCCGAAAGGGGUGCUAAUACCGGAUAAUGUCUUCGGACCAAAGAUUUAUCGCCUUUGGAUGGGCACGCGUUGGAUUAGCUAGUUGGUAGGGUAAAAGCCUACCAAGGCGACGAUCCAUAGCUGGUCUGAGAGGAUGAUCAGCCACACUGGGACUGAGACACGGCCCAGACUCCUACGGGAUGCAGCAGAGGGUAAUAUUGGACAAUGGGCGAAAGCCUGAUCCAGCAAUGCCGCGUGAGUGAUGAAGGCCUUAGGGUUGUAAAGCUCUUGUACCCGGGAUGAUAAUGACAGUACCGGGAGAAUAAGCUCCGGCUAACUCCGUG